RNAcentral lists this long non-coding RNA (24767 nucleotides) under Citrus x clementina. Its description in RNAcentral is "Citrus clementina (C. clementina) long non-coding RNA (CCLE_LNC000242)". Lineage: Eukaryota; Viridiplantae; Streptophyta; Magnoliopsida; Sapindales; Rutaceae. The record is from RNAcentral.
CGAAAAACCUCAAUAAUGAAACAACCAUCAAGAAUCAUCAUUUUCACAAACUCAUCUUGGUUUAAACUUAUGGACCCUCCAUAACAAUUUCUAGCUGUCUUUUCCAGUUCCCUCAUGACCGCGAAAUAGCGUGACAAAGGUAUAUCCAAUCUUUCGCUCUAGAAGCCUUUGAAGAUAGCUCAUUUUGUACUUUUCAAAGUCCCAUAAUUGAUCUUUACCGUGAUGGUAACGACCAAUUGAUAGCAAUCUUGGUGCAUAAGCCUUUUCAUUUACAUUACGCAAUACCUGAGGCUGAGGCACUCUGAAAAUGCUAAACUGAGAUGGUGUACUAGUUAGACAACGAAGCUCUUCCUCAAGAUCAAGUACUAUUGCAGUCGGAUCACUUGCCAAGGUCUGCAUUUAAGUGGAUAUAAAGACAUAAAUGUUGAUUACUAUAAAACUUAACUAAAUUAAUUAUGGAUAAUUACAGAAGUUACAAGUACUUCAACUUUACAUAAAAAUUAUCAUUAAUGCCAUUAAGUCUGCUUUUUAUAAAUUUUGGAAAAAAAAAAAACAGUAGUCAUUGAUAAUAGUUUCAACUUCUAAUUAGAGUUAUAGUGUGAUGGUUGUCGAAGCCAACAAAAAUAAAUUUCUACUCUAAAUAAAUUGUGUAUAGUGAUUGAGCAGGGUCGUGUCCACAGAGAUCGGUAAUUAUUUAAAUCCUUUUGAAACGUAAAACGUAAAAUGGGGGAAUUGUUGACAAUAAUAAAAAUCAAAUAACAAGAAUGCAAAUUAAAGUUGUAAUUCAAAUUGGAGAAAGCUCUGGUUGAAGGAAUUAACUCAGCUUAAUUCGACUACUGAUCAUUGAUUCAAAUAUAGAUUAUUAUUACUCAUGAAUAGAUCGGUUAUAGCUACUGAGACCCUCUAAUAGCCAAUCUCUCCUUAACUAGUCGAUAACCAAGGUACGGCCGUUGGUUAUUUCCCUAAUCAAUAGAAAACCCUAGAUACGAUCAUAGAAUUUAAUCAAUUGACAGCCUGAAAAACCAGAGAGACCCAAAUCCUAAUCAACACAUAUGAUGAUUCAUUUAAAUUAGAUUGUUUAUUCUCACAACACAACUCUCUGCUAUGUUAUUUGUCACAAACAUUAAAUUCUUCAUACGAUGAAUCUUUUAAUUGACAAUAAAUUAAGUUGAUAAUUAAAUAGUGGCCAAUGACCUAAUUAACAAACAUAAUCAUGAAAAUAAUACAGAGAAUAAACAAAUACCCAAAAAGUAAUAAAACAAUUAACGCACAAGAAAGAUCUCACAGUGGUGAUGAAUCAAAGCUUCGUUAUCCUUUAACCAGAAAAAUAAGUUUAAUUCUUCAUAGAGAAAAGAGAAAAAUUAGAUCUAGGGUUUCUUUGUUUUCCUCCAAUCCAAAUCCCUUUUUCACAAUAGAUUCCUCCCUUAAAUACUCUCUCUCUCUUCUCUUUUAGAAUUCUAUUUAAAAUAAAAUACUAAUAUCUGAAAUAUUAAAUUCGUAAUUACAAAAAUAAUAAAAAAUACAAAACACGUUAAACUAAAAACUGCAGGUCCGCAGUUGACAGCACGCGCCCACGCCUUAUCAACAAAGUUCUUCUGACGCUCAUAAUUUCUCCAAGAGAACAAUCCUCCUUAAACAUCAUCUUUUAGCUCAAUUUUAUCAUCAAUCAAUAGAAUUGUACCUAAAAAAGUAAAACACAAGUAAAACAUUAUUAUUAAGUGCAAAACAUCGAUAUUAAGGGAAGUAAACAAUGCAAAACUAGUGCAUAAAUUGCACUCUAACAAAUUCCCCCACACCAAGAUGAUACUUGUCCUCAAGCAUAUAACUCAAGAUUAAUCCCAAAUCUCCACUCAAUUCUCAUCUCAACUCAUCCAAAAAUAAUUUUAAGCAAGCAUACCUCAAGAAAUUAAGUCGAUCAACAUUCGAGAGACAAGGAUUUUUAAAGCAUAGAAUCUCAUAAGAUAGAAUCUCAUAAGAUAGAAUAAGAACAUUCAACCACCAAGAAGAUCCAUUCAAAAUUCAAGUGCAACAAGAUUUAAUAGCUCUCUCAAUGACUUCACUCCAUACACUCAAAGUGUUUAGGGUAUCAUUUAUGCACUCAAAUCAAAUCAAAGAAUGCUAUUACCAUAAGCUUGCUCAUAUAUCACAUCUCAAUCCACAAAACAUGAAUAAAAUGCAAAAAUCUAAGGGUCUUAAAAGGGUUGUAAUGGGGUUAAAUAGGUUAAAUAAAAAAGAAAGGUCUAUGAAAGAAAAAGAGAUCAAAAUGAGAAGAAUGAACUCAUUGAAUGAACUUAUGAAAUCAAAAUGCUUAUUUCUACUCAAGUCACCACGAAUGUAAACAUUUUUUUUUCGAUUUUUUUUUAAUUUUUUUUUCUUUUUCCUUUUUUUUUGAUGAAUCAAAUAAAAGAAACGAACCUUGCACAAUUUAAUUCAAGCAUAAUGCUUGUUAAUCUAAUUGAGAAACUUUAAUACAAGGUAAAAAAAACAACAAAAUAUAUCCACACAAUGAGUCCAAAAAUCUCCUUAAAUUGAGGCUCAAAAAGAAGAAAAAUGGUUAAGUAGACGGAGAGAAUUAGAUGGGUAAUGGUUAAGGCUCAAACAAAGAUAGCAAAUAAAGAUCUUCGGGUAGAGAAAAAAAAUGCGAGAAUAGAAAAAUGGAAAAGGGUUUGCCCUUAUCAUUUUAAUGCAUAAAAUCCCGUAAUGCGGCUUUAACAUGCAUAACAAAGCAAGUUCUAGAAUAAACAAACUAAGAUUGAUAUUCACAUAACAAAAAUAUUAGAGCAAAGUGGUUGCUCAUAGGCUCAAAUCCUCACAAAGUUGGUAAAUUUGCCAUCAAAUCAUGUACAUUCUUCAAAUGAAUCAACCAUCAAUAGUGGUGUAGAAUGAGAAAAAUGUAUGAGUGAUAUAAAAAAAAAAGGUAAAAAGGAUAAGAAGUGAGAAAGAUGUAUGUAGUAAUAUGAAAAGUGAAAGAUAAAAUAUGAGUAAUGAAAGAGUAUGAUAGAAUAAAAAUAUAUGUAAAUAAUUUGAGAUAGAUGGGAAAAGAGUAGUGAGAAAGGAAAAAAAAAAGAAAAAAAUAAUAAUAUAUGAAGCAUACUAACUCCAAAAUCAUUUAAGGAUGAGUAGAGUGAAAAUAGAUGAGUAGAGUGAAAAUACUACUUCCAGACAUCAAUAAUGCAAAAAUCCCUCCCCCACACCAAGAACUUACAUUGUCCCCAAUGUAAGAUAAUCAAAGCUCACAUAAAAAUUAAAGCGUAAGGAUAAAAGAUUAAGGGCAAAAAGAAACUUCCCUGAAUUGUGAGCUUUGAUCCACAUAACGUCUAUGGGCUUGGCGGAAAUGGUGGGGUAAAUCCCACACUCUCGAAGUAUGCAGCCAAAUUCUGCUCCAUCUUGUUCAACUUGUGCUCCAUUUUCUCUAACUGAAUGCUCAAAGGUGGUGCGGAUGUAGAAGGAAUAGUUGGCUGGGCAGCAGUGUCGUCGUCAAACUCGUCAUCAGAGGUAGCACCACUCCUAGCAUAAAGCUUCUUCGGAAGUUGAGUGGGUCCUGGUUCAGUAAACUGAAAUCUCCCCUCCUUGAAUUCGACCACACCUAUCUUUCUCUUGUUGAGUCGCGAAUGCGAGGCACCCUCCGAGAUUGGAUUCCGCAAGUGGCAAAACACUCAUUCCUUUUCCAUGUUUCGAUCUUUGUCUUACGGCUUGGCGUGAAUCCGAAAUUGUGUUCCAUGAAACCGUAGUGGGAGCGGCAAUCUUCGAUUUCUUUGCGACGAGUGUCUUUUUCGAUGACUUGGAAGUAGAUGCUUUCCUCUUCGGCAUUGUUACAAUAAUUUCACUCAUGGAUUUCGAUUUACCCGGCUGGAAUACAGGGCGUAGGCUGGUUGCAUUGCGUUGCUGCUCGGCUGGAGCUUGCUGCGCAGCUUGGGGCUGGUUGCGCACUGCUGGUUGCGUGCGGGAUGCUGGUGCGUGGCUGUGUUGUGCGCGCGAGGGGGGGGCUUGUUGGUGCUGCGUGCGCGGGGGCUUGCAUUGCGGAUCUGUUGCGCACUGCUCGUCUGCUGUUGCUCGGCUAUGUUGCGCGCGCGGGACUGAUGCACUGUGCUGAGGCUGAUUCGCGUUGCUGCUAGUUGCGUUGCAGGUGGGACUGAUGCGGCUGCAGUUGGUUCUGCGCGCUGGAGCUAAGGGUUGCUGCGGGAAAACGAUAAUCAACAGUGAAUUUUUUUGAAUUAGGGAUUUGUGAACAGUGAUUUGUGAUUUUUUGUUUUUUUUCUUUUUUUUAAAAAUAAAUAAAUAUAUAUAUAUAGAAGAAAGAAAAGAAGGGAAAAAAACUUUUUUUUUUCAUUUUUUUAUAAAUAAAUAAAUAUAUAUAUAUAAGAAAGAAAAUAAGGAAAAAAACUCUUUUUGUUUUAGUGAUGAAUCACUUUGAGACACUAAAAAUUUCAGAAGUACUUUUCUAAUAAGCACGUGGGCACGCCUUAAAACUAUUUUACUUUAAAAAUUACAGAAGUACUUAUUAGUUAAGACGUGGGCACGCCUUAUUAAAAAUUUUCUUCUGACCAAAAUAAGUAAACACAUUAUUUUAAAAAAAAAAAUCUUAAUCAAAAUUAAAAGAAGAUAUAACAAAAACCAAAAUAAACAAAUCAUUUGGGUUGCCUCCCAAAGAGCGCCUUUGUUUUAUGUCUUUGGUUAGACACAUUUAUGCAUCAAUCUCCAUAAUUGGGACUCUCGAGAGCCACAUCCUCCACAAUAUUCACCGAAAAACCUUCAUAAAAAGGUUUUAAACGAUGACCAUUAACCUUAAAAACUUUGUCAGAGGUCGGACUCCGAAUCUCAACUGCACCAUGAGGAAAAAUAUUAGUAACAAUAAAAUGUCCAACCCAGCAAGAACGUAAUUUACCCGGAAAAAGUUUAAACUUAGAAUGAAAAAGAAGAACUUUUUGACCAAUAGAGAACUCUUUUCUCAAAAUCAUUCUAUCAUGAAAUGUCUUCAUUUUUUCCUUGUAAAAAACUUCCUGUACUAUAGGGUUAAUAACAUCCACAGAAAAUACCGAAUGUUCCUCACUCGGAUAUUUCAUGGCAUCAUUCAUAUUGAAUUCUAUAACCUCUCUAUCAAACUCCAUAGUGAGAGUUCCUUUAUGUACAUCCAUUUUAGUCCUAGCAGUCUUAAGAAAAGGUCUUCCUAGCAAAAUUGGGACAAAAUUAGAGGAGUUAUCAUCUUCCAUAUCAAGUACAUAAAAAUCAGCAGGAAAAACCAACUCAUUAACUUGUACUAAGACAUCUUCUAAUACCCCAUCAGGAUAUGCAUUAGACCUAUCAGCUAGUUGAAUUAUCACGCCAGUUUCUUUUAAUGGACCAACAUUCAAAGAUGAAUAAAUGGAACGAGGCAUGACAUUAAUAGAAGCUCCUAGAUCUAAUAAAGCCUUUUCAAUUUUAACACUACCAAUUUUACAAGGGAUAGUAAACAUACCUGGAUCCUUGCACUUAGAAGGUAGUUUCUUUUGAAGAACUGCUGAAACAUUCUCCCCCAUAUGAACUUUUUCAUCUCCUCUUAAUUUUCUCUUAGAGGUGCAUAGUUCCUUAAGGACUUUAGCAUAUCGAGGUAUUUGUUUUAUAGCAUAUAAUAAAGGAAUAUUUACCUCAACCUUGCGAAAUGUCUCAAGGAUGUCUUUCUCUUGUUCCUCCUUCUUGGAUUUUGCAAACCGGCUUGGAAAAGGAUGAGGUAUCACAAUAGGUACGGGUUUCGCUCUGGUGGGUUGUUCAUCUUGAGAUUGAGGCAUCAAUUCAUUCUUCUCAAGCUCACCUUCUACAUGCUCUGUCACUUUCUUACUAGGCUCUUGCAACUCCUUCCCACUUCUAAGGAUGACAGCACUAACGUUUUGCUUUGGAUUCACCUCAGAUUGUGAAGGCAAUCUCCCUAAUACUUGAGACUCUAGUUGGCUCAAUGUAGUCGCCAAUUGACUCAUUUGGUUCUCCAAGUUCUGAAUGCUUGCUGUAGUUGCCUGCUAAAAUUGUUGAGUGUUAGUCGCAAGCGAUUUAACAAUUUCUUCAAGAGAUAUACCUGACUUGGAGGUUGACUGUGGAGGUGCUGGUUGUCUUGGUGGAUACUGUUGUGGGAAUCCUGACGGCCUAACUCUAUAGCUGAAGUUGGGAUGAUCCUUCCAUCCCGUAUUGUAUGUUUGUGCAUAAGGAUCAUACCUCCUCUGAGGCAUGCCUGGAAAUCCUCCAACUGCAUUGGCUUGUUCAAAGUGUUCUUCUUGAAGUGUAGGACACAUAUCAGUUGAAUGACCCAUAUUGUAACAAAUACCACAAGUCUUCACUUGUUGCACAUUACCUACCAUAAACUUUUCCACAAGAGAAGUAAGUUUAUCUAAACGUUGUUCAACAGAAGAAAUAUUUACCUCAUUCACCUUCCUUGAAGUGGGAUCUUGCCUGCUGCCAAAUUGUUGUGCGUUGGCAGCCAUAUUUGAUAUCAACUCUCUUGCUUGAGUAGGAGUCUUGUUCACCAACACGCCUCCACUAGCAAUAGACAACCCUAGAUACGAUCAUAGAAUUUAAUCAAUUGACAGCCUGAAAAACCAGAGAGACCCAAAUCCUAAUCAACACAUAUGAUGAUUCAUUUAAAUUAGAUUGUUUAUUCUCACAACACAACUCUCUGCUAUGUUAUUUGUCACAAACAUUAAAUUCUUCAUACGAUGAAUCAUUUAAUUGACAAUAGAUUAAGUUGAUAAUUAAAUAGUGGCCAAUUACCUAAUUAACAAACAUAAUUAUGAAAAUAAUACAGAGAAUAAACAAAUACCCAAAACGUAAUAAAAUAAUUAAAGCACAAGAAAGAUUUCACAUUAGUGAUGAAUCAAAGCUUCGUUAUCCUUCAACCAGAAAAAUAAGUUUAGUUCUUCAUAGAGAGAAGAGAAAAAUUAGAUCUAGGGUUUCUUUGUUUUCCUCCAAUCCAAAUCCCUUUUUCAUAAUAGAUUCAUCCCUUAAAUACUCUCUCUCUCUUCUCUUUUAGAAUUCUAUUUAAAAUAAAAUACUAAUAUCUGAAAUAUUAAAUUCGUAAUUACAAAAAUAACCAAAAAUACAAAACACGUUAAACUAAAAACUGCAGGUCCGCAGUUGACAGUACGCACCCACGCCUUAUCAACAAAGUUCUUCUGACGCUCAUAAUUUCUCCAAGAGAACAAUCCUCCUUAAACAUCAUCUUUUAGCUCAAUUUUAUCAUCAAUCAAUAAAAUUGCACCUACAAAAGUAAAACACAAGUAAAACAUUAUUAUUAAGUGCAAAACAUCGAUAUUAAGGGAAGUAAACAAUGCAAAACUAGUGCAUAAAUUGCAUUCUAACAUAGUGACAGUACUUGUAUAACAAGGGAAGUGAGACAAAUCAACAACGAGUGAAAGCAAAUCAUCAGUUAUAGCACACUAAUUGAAUGACCAUAAAUCAUAAACAAAACCAAAUUUUAUAUUCGUUUCAAUUUCAAUUCUUUUAUAUUCUUAGUAAUAUUUGAUACAGAACUGAGCCAGCUCACAGAUCUUGGAUCUCACGUGCGCGGCCAAAGAAGCUAAGCAAAAUUCUUGGGGUACACAAUACAAUUCACUAGGGGUGGGCAAACGGUUCGGUUUUUGCCGAACCGAACCGAACUGAAAAAUUUGGUUCGGUUCGGUUCUAUGAGUAAAAACCGAAUGGUUUAAAAAAUACUGAACCGAUUGGUUUUAAUUUGGUUCGGUUCAAAACCGAACUGAACCGAAAAACCGAUCGGUUCGGUUCAAUUUAAUUACAAAAUAUUUAAAACCAAAUUUCAAAUUCAAUCACAAAAUUCAAAUCCCUAAAUCACGAUUGCAUACUGUUGCCCUUGCCUCUCCCCCUCGCGCCUCUCCCUCGUGUCUCUCUCUCCUCACGGUGGAGCUCCUCAACGGCGGCACCACCCCUCGGCAGUAUCUUCCCCCACUGCGCGUGCAUGGUGCGGUUCGGCUCAGCCCCUCUCGGUCUCUUCCUCGCGUCUCUCCCUCGCCUCACACCACGGUCAGCGCCUAGCACAGCCCCUCAGUAGCAGCACAGCCCCUCCCCUCAAGCACAGUGACACCGUUGUUAACCCUCAUCUUGGUUGCUGCAGCAUCUGGAAGGUACAUAUGCUCCCUGGUCCAAACCUCCCUGCUCCUGCCAUCAGCCUGCGUCUUUAAUCUUCAUUGCUGCAGGUUAUUAUUAUUAUUUUUUGUUAAUCCAUGUUGUGGCCUCUAUGUUUGAAUUGAAGUUUAUGUGGGGUUAAAUUUGUGGAGGUGUUGGUGUAUAUUGGUUGUUGGCAGUGUGGAAUUGUAUAAUUGUAUAUGUGUCGAAUUGUACAAGUAAAAUAGUGUGGAAUUGCUGGCAGUGUGGAAUUGUAUAAGUUAUGAGAAAACGAUCGUGAAAUGCUUCUAAUUUCAUUGACUAUGAUUAAUUUGGGAAAAAAGCUUUACAAUGAUUCCGUGUCUGUGUUUGUGUUUGAAAGGAAUGCUUUUGUAUUAGUAAGCCAUUCAGUGAUUCCAGGAGCAGAAUCACAGUAAGCUCCCCAGACGCAAUUAUUCUAAGCCUUUAAAAAUUUGUAGACUAGUUUUUCAAUUUCUUUUAGAUUUUCUCUUCUCACAGUUUGAGCAUCAUAUGCAUACUGUACUGUUGCAGCGUUGCUCAUGCCACUGGAAUUAGUUACUUCAAAUCAAUUACUAGGCCGAAUAACUAAAUGAACUAGAGCUUGUGCCUUUCUUGUGGAGCCUUACAUGUGAGAACCGAACCAAACCAAACCGAAUUUUAGAACCGAACCGAACCGAAAUAUUUCGGUUGGGUUCGGUUGGGUUCUAAAAUUCGGUUCAAUUUGGUUUGAGUUUUUUAGAACUGAUCGGUUUCGGUUCGGUUCGGUUCGGGCUCCGAACCGAACCGAACUGGAAAAUGCCCACCCCUACAAUUCACUAUAAAUCAAUUCAAAGGUAAAAAAUGCAUUAUAUUAAAACAAGUUAUUUAUGAUAACUUACAGAUGACUUUCCGGUUGCGAGACAAGAUACCAAUCUUCCCAGUGCAAUGAUUUUCCUUCGUUUUCUUUUUGACGAAAGUCAAAUGUUUGGUUUGGUUUGCAAGUGCAAAAUGGCUCCUGUACCACACCUUUUUUUUGUGCCAGCAACGUGGGUUGAAUUAAACCUACAGGCUUUUUGGUCCUUCGAGUCGAUGGUUGUUGGAUUCCUGGAAAUUUCCUCCCAAAACCCAACUCUUUUCCUACCAUUGGAGGGGAUGGCAGUUCAACCAUUAUUCCUCUGAUUAUUUGCGGCCAAUUUUUUUAGGGGUCCAGCUUCGUUGCUCCUUUUUGUCUUUUCUGAGUUAUAAAAUAAAAAAGAGAAGUGAUGUACUGUUGUGAAAAUUUUAAUAUACUCGCAAGCGCACGAAUCUAGAGAUAGAAUAGUGGUAACGAGGUCGAUCCCACAGGGAUUGUUAUAAAUUAAAAAGUCUAAUUUAAAUAUAAAAUUAAUAUUAAUUCUAACCUAGUUGAGCAAAUUGAGUUUUUAAGAAAAUUAAACCAAUUAAACUAAGGAAGCAAUUAAAAUAAAGGAGAAUUCAAUAAGAUAAGAAUUACCAAGGUUUCAGAAUCCACCACUAUUCAACUAGUAAUUAUCUAAUUAUUAAUUAACCCCCAAUUUUAGAGUGACAACUCGAAAUCAAUCUAUGUCAUCUCAUGGAUAUAACAAUUAAGCCCAAGUAAUUAAAUCUAAUGUAGGUUCUUUUUCUGCUUAAUAAUAUGACAUCUAAGAAUCUCAUGUAAAUAAAUUGAAUAACAAAGAGUCAAAAUUUCCUAAGCACUCAAUGUAAACAAUUUAAUGAAAGACAUAAAAUCAAAGAUAAUCAUGUAUAAACUUUAUAGAUCCAAGCAUAGAAUUAAUCGAAUAUUAAUCCUAACAAUCAAUAAUGCAUGACAGAAUUGAUGAAAAGAUUUUAUUAACAUCCGAUUAAUCAUGUGAAAUAAAAACCAUAAUCAUUAAAGAACAUAUAUGGGAAUUAAAUAAAUAAAAAGAUAAUUAUUUCAUUGAAUAUGGUUUCAUCUUUAAUCUCAGUAUAAGAAAAUUAGUUAGACAUACUUGAAUUGGGAGCAACAAAAUAAAUAAAAUCAGCCAUGAAGCCGAACUGCUGCACUCGUCCUUGUCUCCCCUCUUCUGCCUUGCGUCUGCACUCCCCCCUUGUUUCCGUCCAGCAGCUCCCUUUUAUAUUGCUUGGCCACGGAAUCCUAUUGUGAUUCUAAUAACUAAACCAACUCUUACAAGCUAAAGCUCUAAGCCUGCCACGUAAUUGAAAACAAUAAAAGCCAAAAGCUAUUGAUUUCCUUCCUUUAUUCUACUUUGACUUUCCACUCAAAGCCUUAAUUAAAAGCUUUGUUUUUAUGUGCUGCCCACUUUAGCUUUAACUUUCUUCUUUGUUUGCACGAGCAUGGAGAAUUCAUUUUAUUGGAUUCGGCUUCUUCCACAUGCACGUAUGUCUAAUUGCUUCCAAAUCAAUUAAUCUUUAAUGCUCAUAAAUUGAACUCCUUUAUACUCUUUUUAUCCAUAAUCUCCAAUUAAUUCCCUAUUCAAUAAAACAAUUCAAUUAAUUAAAAAUAACAAAUAAAUAUAACUAGCAAUUAUUUAAUUAAGGGUAAAAUAUGUAUAUAUUAUAUGCUCAUCAUGUACAUUCUAAAUUUUUUAUUUUAAAAAAUUAUCUUAAAUAACGUGACAUUUAUUAAUUAGUUGGUGAAAUAAUAUAAUUAAUUUACUUAAAUUUUAUAAAGAAUUAUCAACCACUCAAUUAAUGACACAUCAUUUAAGAUAAUUUUUUGAGAUAGAAAAUUUGAAAUAUAUAGCAUUACUGAAUUAAAAAUAUUUAUUUUAUUAUAAAAUAAAAAAAUAAUGAGACAGUCCUAAAUUUUGACUCAUUAAUCCUACUUAUUUUAAUUUUUUAAACUUAAAUAAAUGGGUGGGGUAAUUUUUUUAAUAAUUAAUUCACAUACCAAUCAUCAAAGUUUUUGAAAAAAAAUUACACUUACACCUACCUAAAUGUCAAAUAUAUCUUUGAUAAAACUAUUUUUUUUACUAAAUUAAUUAAUUAAAAUAAAAUAUAAAAAAAAAUUGAUUAACUUAUUUACAUGUCCACUAGUUUCAAGCCCAUAUAUCUAGUAAUUAACAAUUGAAUCCUAUCCCAGACUCAAAGGUCAAACAUGAGAUAUGAAAAAUUCCUAUAUAAGUGUGAAGCAUAAAACAGUUUUGCCUCUAACUCCUUAUUAAGAAACUUCUAAACUUGUUCAGCAAGCCCCUAAAUGUAAGAAUAAAAAAAGAGUCAUUUAUUUCCCUCAGUUUUUGAUACCUUCUCACUAAACAAUUUAAAAACUCAUUAUCAUUAGUAAAUUAAUAUAUUUUUAUUAUAUAUUGAACUUAUUGCCUGUAUAAUGAAUAAGUCUUAUGAAAAAAAUUAACCACAAAUUAAUAACAAGAGAUUAAAUUCAUAUUAACAUUCAUCAUAUGAUUUGCAAUUAAUACAUGGUUUUACUAUAUUAAAUUAACUAAUUAAUAAAAAGAGUAUUAAUUUGCAUAAAUUAAGAAUAGGUCAUUUUAUUGGUGAAAAUAACUAAAUGUAAAAAAAAUUAAAAUAUUAUGGACUUAUGUGCCAAAAUUUUAAACUUUUUCACUGUGUUAAUUUUGUAGCAAAUAGUAGGGACUAUAUUGCUAAUAACUUGAUAGAAACAUUUAACCAUUAAACUACUUUUGGGUUAGCUGUUUAACAGUGGAUUCAGAAAAGAGAAAAAAUGAGGUGUAAAACCACAGCAAUAACAUAGCUCGACCCUUUUUUUUUUUUAAUUGUCAGAAACAUUAGAGAAAGUUUGGAUAAGAUAAUCUUUUAUAAAUUAAAAUAUAAGAUUUCGUUAUAAAAUAUGUUUAAUCUUAAAAUUUUAAUAUUCCAUGGAGCAUCGAGCAAAGUGUAAUUUGAAUAAACGGGGUUUAAGGUAUCAAGAUUUUUUUUGUAGAAAAGAGACUAUAACUAUGUAUGAAAUAAAAGUUGAUAUUGAUGGGAUUAUCUUUUAUUUAAAGCAUAUUUAUUUAUUUGUAAUAAAUACAUUUUCUAAUUAAUAAAAUAUUUGAGAUAUUUUUCAUAUAUUUUAAUUACAUAAGUAUUUGGAAUAAACUCUGUUUAAUCAUAUUCUAUGUAUUUAUGUGAUCAUCAUAUGGAUUCAUAGAAGACAUAUUAUAAAUUAUUUUGUGAUUAAAUAAAUUAAGUUCACUAUUGAUAAAUAGAGUUAAGUGCUCUAUUUAUGUUUUGAAUAAUUUGUCUUGAACAUAUAUAAAUUUACUGAUGUAAUUUGAUUACAUUGAUCUAAAUUGCAUAUGAAAUUUAAUUACCUUUGAAGUGAUUGAAAAACUUAUUAAAAUCUCAUAUGCAUUAAUUUUAUUGAAAUAUCAAGUUUGAUUUAAUUAUAAUUUUAUAUUUGUGAUUGUUAUUUCAUUUGAGUUAUCAAUGGGUUCAACAUACAUUUGUAGUCCAGAUUACCCGAUAUUUUAGUGGGAGCGAUUAUCAAUAGUGAGAUGAUAUAUUAACAAUAUAUAAUUUGUACAACACAUUUCUUAAUGGAUUUUCGGUACUUAAUUAUAGAAUUUUCUGGCCGCAGUGUGUUAACAUAUUUAGUAUGUUGAAAAUGAUGAUUAGAAAAAAGUCAGUAAGUGUCAAGAAACGAAAUGUAAUUAAAUUGAUUAAAUAGUUGAAAUAUCAAUUUAAUUAAUGAUGUGCUAAAAAUAGUUGUUUAAUACAGAAAUCAAUACGGCAUGUGUCGAAUUAUUAUUCGAAAAUACUAUCCUAGAUAACAUGUAAUUAUAGAGGUCAGUUCUAAUCUUUUAGUGAACUAGAUUUAUAAUUAAAUCAUCAAACUAGAUUAAUUGUAAGAUUAACUAUUGUAGACACUGUUGUAUAUACCUAAAUGAUUCCGGAGCUAGCUCACUUAAUUAAUUGCACCACUAUGGGACUGAUAAGUAAUAUAACUAGAUAUUUGUGUCAAAAAAUCAAAAUAUAUUAUGUAGUAAGAGGCUUCAUUUAAUAUGCCCGUGUAUAAACCUAUAAGGGUCUUUUGUUAUUUUACAAGAUGGGCCUUAUAACAAGAACAAGUGAUGCGACUUUAUCUUAUCUUUUAAUUUACAUUGAAUAUUUUUUAUUUAAUAAAAUUUAUAAAAAUAAAUAAAAAACAAAGAGGUUUUGGUUUCCACCAAAACGUAAUAAAAAUGCUUGUUUUUCUAGAAAAGAACAAAUGAGCCACAAUAUAUAAAUAGAGAAAAUUUUUUUUCUAAUUUUGAGGAAAAACAUUUUUGAUUGCUAGUUGUUCUUGAUAGUGAUAAAGAUGCUCAUACGUUAAGUGUAGAUCAAACUUGAAUCUUAACCUAAAAGAUCGUUGGUCACGGAUCUUAAUCUAACAAGAUUAAUAGUGAUGGAUCAUGACUUAAAAGUAAAAAUUAUUACUAUGAAAAAGCAAAGUUACUAUUUCUAAAUUAUAGUAAGCUUAUAUGUUAUAUGAGAGUCUCAGUCUAAAUAUUUUCACUAUAAACUAUUUUUAAUCAACAAAUAUUAUAUGGUUAAAUAUAAUUUUUAAAUAAUAAUUUUGAUAAAAUUAACAAAAUAUUAUAUAUUUUUUAUAUUACAAGGGUCAAAUCAAAUUAAUUUAUUUUUUAAAGUAUAAUACUAAGUGUUUACCAAGUACGAGCUACAAAUACCUAAUCUCAAUAUCAAAGUGAUCUUAAUUGGAAGUAAAGUACGGAUUGCUACGGGCGUUUACUAUUUUUGAAAGAUUAACUCGUUAUCUAAUUGUUGACAUGACACGUGUCUCAUGACUAAAUUUUUUUAACCUUUAUUCACUUUGUCAAUAAGCGUUUUCUCUUUUGGCUUUGAAUGUGUCAUUUGAAUUUAAAGAUUACUCAACUAUUUCAAAAUAGUCAUAUGGUGCAUUCCAUCCGAAUGGACUGAAAUCGAAAUGGGUUAGAAUAAGAAUCAGAAAUAAAUUAUUUACUUGAGUUGUAGGAAUCAGAAUUGGAAUAAGAUUUAUUUCCAUUAAUGUGUUUACUUUAUUUUAAAAUCAGAAUGAAUUAUCAUAAUUUACUAAAAUACCCUUUGUUAAUUAUUGUCAAUUAGUGGCAGUAACAACAACAACAACAAUAAUAAUGACAUUAACAAAUAAUAAUAAUAUUAUUAUUUAUUAAAAUAUUAUAAUAAAAUUUAUAAUAAUUAUUAUUUAUUAAAAUAUUUUUAUAGUUAUAAUUUAUUAUUCAUCAUCAUUAUUAUUAAUUUUAUUAAUUUUUAUUUUUAUUAUUAUUUAAAUAAAGGAUAAUAUGAGUUUUCGAAUGGAAUUCUAAUUCCCAAGCCUUCCCUUGGGAAUCAAAACUCUGAUAAUAAUUCUCAAAUUUGUGGGUCCAACACUAUCCGAAAUUUUGUAAAUACACGCAUCAUUACUUCCCAUUUUAGAAUCUCCAUUCUCAUUGCUAGUAAGUAAAUAUACCAUUAUAGUAUUGUCCUUUCAAACACUUCAAGAACAUUAUUAUUUUUUUUUAUCAGCGCAUUUUCACAACUUGUGUGAAACAUUUUGCUCCAUAUGUUCCUUUCAAGUUUCCAAGUAAUUAAAAAAGCAUCAAGUAAUUUUCAUUUUUUUCAAGAUUUAAAUGCAUCUAUUUCUCGAAUACAAAUUAACCAAGAAGCUUCAUAUAUUUAUAUUGCAACGGUGCAAAUAUGGCUAGAAAUUUUUUUUUCUAUUAGUGUUUAAUAAAUUCAAGAAUUACUAGAAGAAGCAGACUACUGAGACAGCUCAGUAUGGGUGGACAAAGAUAUUAGAUUAUAGAGAGAAAAGAAAAAAAAAAAGUGCACUAAAUUCCAUUAGAUCGUAAAAGGAAACAUAGGUGCAUAGGUGAUUCCAACCAACCGAGUAGUAUUUUGCAGUCCACACAGUUAAAGUGCAAUUCGGUUUCUGUUUCUGAUUGGAGGUUUUCCUUUUCAUCUUUAAAAGAAAAGAAAAAAAAGAAAUAUGCAUGCAUUUGAUGGUAUCAAAAGCGGCGCCGAAAGGUGACAUUACUUUCAAUAAUAUCCUAAUGAAAAGGGCGGGGAAAUGAAACGGACAUUUCCCCUCCCCUCUUAAUCAUAUGUUCUCAACUGAAUUGGGAGAUCGAAGACAAAAGUAAGAGAAUUAAGAGUUUUUAAUAAAUACUGAGUUAUUAGUGAUGGAGAAAUUAAGAUUUGCAUGUAUUAAAGUUUAGAUAGUGAGGUAAAAUAUUUUAUAUAAAAUUUUAUAUUUUUUGUUUUUAUUUGUGAUUGUAUGUUAAAAUUCUUAUAACUUAAAUUUUUUUAAUCUCUUGUCUGAUAUUUAUGUCUAAUUUUUUUAUUUUUUUAAAUAUUUUUAAUUGUAUAUUUACUUCACUCAUUAAUUUUUUUUACAUUCAAAGGAUCAUAAUUUUUUCUUAUUAUGAUUAUGCACUGAGUAAAUAAUUUAACUGUUAAUUAAUAGUUAAUAAUCUAAAAAUUAAAAAUUAAAUUUUACCUACAUACUACUAACAAAAAAAGUAUAUGAGAAUAAAUUUUUAAGAAUUCAAUAAAAUUCAGGUGAGAAUCCUGUUCCAUAUUUGUAAGGGCAAUUUUUGUAAAACUAAGGCGUGCAUGUAACUAUUUAAAAAAAUUAUGUAAUUUAAGUGAAAUGACACAUCAAAUACAGCUGACAAAAUAUUUUCUUUUUACUGACAUAAAACGCGUCUCAUAAUAACAUUGCCAGAGUGAGUCAGAACACUGAGCAUGGCACUCCAUUUCAUGAGUUAUAGCUUUCAAGAAAUUGGAUUUAUUUUUUGUGAGGACAAAAGUAUAGUGCAGACAUAUUUGGUUCCCUUCUAAAAUUAUUAUUUUUUGUAUUAAAAUAUAUUUUUGGAACUCAAAUCUCAACUACGCACUUAAAAUAAUAAAUAAUAAAAAAUUUAUUAUAACUUUAAUCGUGUGGUUAUAAAAUAAUAUUUAUCUUAAAGUAAUUUUAACAUAAUUAAUUUUUUUAAUAUUAAUAAAAAAUUAGGACACACGACAUUUAAAUUUUUCAUGGGAUAAGAUUUGAUUUUUGAUUUUUCUUUUUUUAAAUACCAAAACAAACGUUUUUUUUACUAGUUAAAAAUCUAGAACUAAGAUAUAUGGAUGUUAAUUCUUAACGUCAAUUUACGAAUGUUUUCGGUGAUUCAGGUAUUGCAAUUUUUUUUCCUUUAUUCAAAACUCAAAACAAAGACUUCACCAAAUUUAAAUAUUAAAAAAAAAUCAAUAGAUCAGUUUUUUUUUUUUUUUAACUUUUAUCAUCUUUGAAAAUGUUGAUUCUCUCAUUUCAUAUUCUCAAAUUAUUCUUCCUAUAUGAUUAAAUAAAAAAAGAGAGGUCACUCAACUUUUGACCGGGUGGUGGAUCGAUAUGAGAACAACAGCAGUUCGAGCCUUUCAUAAAUUUAAUGUAAAGUUGUAGUUUUAAUUAAUUAUCUGGACAAGUACUUUAUAAAAUUUAAUCAAUUUAUUUAAUUGUAUGAUGUAACUAUUUGAUAAAAUAUCAAUUCUCAAAAAAAAAAAAGGGAAGUCAAAGAAAAUCAAAACAAAUUUAAUAUAAUUGUGAUAAUUGUUAAGAAAAAGAAAAUGAAAAAAAGAAAAAGAAAAAGGGAAAUUAGUUAAGAAAAUUAAAUUAAGGAGAGAUCCGAACCAGUACAGACACAAUGACUGAUUAUAUACAAAAAAAAAUUGAGAUUAAGAGAGAUCCGAAUCAGAACUGAGACAAUGACUGAUUAUAUAGCGUAAAAUAACAGUGACUAGGAAUUAACAACAACUUUUAAUCACACAAAAAAAAAAGGAAAAAAGAAAAAGACAAUGGUAACAGCAGUAGCGAAUGCGUCAGUCGCUUCAGCUGGCACUGGUCUGAGAAUAACAUAAAAUUGCUCAAAUAACUAACACAGCUAGUAAACUACUAGAAUAGAAUAAACAACUCAGAAACUUAUCUCCCGUGGGAGAUUAGACGAUGAAUAUUCAUUGCCACUCUUUUGGUUACACUUUGUCACUAGAUGUGAAAAAGCUUAAUUACGAAGGCAAAAUAACCUCGAGACUCGGCGCCACAGCCGUGAGGAAGGGUUCCCUUGCACCGGAUUUGAUCCGCCGGGUUGACUUGGCCCAUUAGCGCUAGCAGGAGCCGCUUGAAUAUUGUUUUGCUGAUUUUGUGAUUGGUAGUACUCUGGGGGGUAUGUAUACUUUUUCUCCAUCCACUCUGACUUUAGUAGACAGACCACACCUGCAAGAGGAACCUCAUCAUAUCUUUUCUCUUCUCCCAUAUGUUUUUGGGAUUUUGCCGUGGCUUUUUCCAGCAGUUCUUCAUCAGACUGGUUUGGCUCAUAAACAACUGCAUCAGGACUUGUUAUCCUGGGCUCUUCACUGGACUGGCUAGUGUGGGUCCGUUUGCGCUUGCGCUUGCGCUUUGAUUCUGAUUGUUGUGGCCGGCUUAAUCGGGUUACUCUGCUUACGCCAACAAAUAAAUGUUUCAAAAGACUUAUAAUUAAUUAUUAUUAAUGAUUACAUAUUAUUGAAUUUAAAUAGAAAGAAAAAAAAAGUACAAAGAAUAUCCACCAAUAUUUUAGAUAUUUUAUAUAAUAGAAAAUAUAAAAAGAUGAGGAAUGAUAUAUAUUAAUAAAGUUAUUAUUUAUUAAAUGAGUUAAAUACAAUCAAAUUAAUUAUGAGAAGAUGAAAAGACAAAUAUAAAAAAAAAAUCUCUAUGUAUUAGAUGAUAGAGAAUAUACAAAGAAGCAAAAUGGUGAUGCCAAAUCACCUCCUCAAGUCCUAACUUUAUAUAUAUAUAUAUAGAUAGAUUAGGAAAUAGAACCGCACGUCGUGCGGCUUUAAAAAAAAUUAGUAUUAUUUUUUUAUUACUUUGUAAUUGAUGAAAUUGAUAAAAAAAUAUGAAUUAUUUUUUUUAAAGAUGAUGCAGUCUUAUAAAACUAAUGUUAUUUAUGAAAGUUAAUUAUUUUUUGUUAACAUUAAAAAUAUAUAUUAAUGUGUAUAGUUAAGUGUAUACAAUUUUUUCAUCAAUAAAAAUUAUGUUCACACUAAUCAACUCUCCAUUUUUCUUGGUAUUAACAGACUCUCACAUCUUACAAAUCCUAACCUUUAUCAUCCAACUAUCUUUAUCAUUGUUUAACUCAUAAAGAAAAUAGUACUCCAUGAAACAUACAAUACUAAAAAUUUAAAUAAGUCAAAAAAUAAAAACACAAGAAUAUUUCUAAAGAGGAUGUUGGUUAAAUAAUAAAAAAACUCAAACAUAAUAAAUCUUAAAUGGUUAACAUUAUAGAACUUGAAGAAGCCAAAAGAUACUAAAUAAAAGGUUGCAUAAUUAAAUAUGGGAUUAUGACAUUAAAAUUGGGUCAUAGGGUAUUGGUGAGGGAAGAUGAAGGAACAUUCAUUCCUAUAUUAAUUAGUUGAUGUAUUUUAAACCACUAAAGUUUCGUUGUUGGCUUAAUAAAAUAAAUGAAUGUUUCAAAACUUAUAAUUAAUUUCUUAUUAAUGGUUAUAUAUUGUUGAAUUUAAAUAGAAAUAGGAAGAGACAUGUAAUCUUUUGUAAUCUAUUAAUUAUUUUAUAUUUUAAUAUUUUGUAAUGUAAUUAUUUUUUAAUCACAACCAAUAUAUUAGAUAAUAGAGAAUAAAAAAAGAUAAGAAAUAAUGAUGCCACAAAUCUUAAAUAUUUAAUGUUUAUGGAGUUUGAAAAAAAUCAAAAAGCACUAACCAAAAGAUUGAAUAAUUAAAUAUGAGAUUAUGACAUUAAAAUUAGGCUCUAAUGGCAUUGUUGAGGGAAGAUAAAGGAACCUUCCUUCUUAUAUUAAUUAAUUGAUGUAUUUUAAGCCACUAAAAUUUAAUUGUUGGCAUAAUAAAAUAAAUGAAUGUUUCAAGACUUAUAAUUAAUUAUUAUUAAUGGUUACAUAUUAUUGAAUUUAAAUAGAAAGAGAAAAAAACAUGUAAUCAUUUAUAAUCUAAUAAUUAUUUUCUAUUUUAAUAUUUUGUAAUGUAAUUAUUUUUUAAUUUCAAUCAGUUUAUUAAAUAAUAGACAAUAUGAAAUGAUGAGAAAUGGUGAUGCCAUAUCACCUCUUGUAGUCCCAACUUUAUAUAGAUGUAUAGAUAGAUAGAUAGAUAGAUUAAUUCAUGUAUUUUAUGCCACUAAAGUUUAAUUGCUAGCAUAAUAAAAUAAAUAAAUGUUUUAAAAGACUUAUAAUUAAUUAUUAUUAAUGAUUACAUAUUGUUGAAUUUAAAUAGAAAGAGAAAAAAAGUACAAAGAAUAUCCACCAAUAUUUUAGAUAUUUUAUAUAAUAGAAAAUAUAAAAAGAUGAGGAAUGAUAUAUAUUAAUAAAGUUACUAUUUAUUAAAUGAGUUAAAUACAAUCAAAUUAAUUAUGAGAAGAUGAAAAGGUAAAUCUAAAAAAAAAAUCUCUAUUUAUUAGAUAAUAGAGAAUAUACAAAGAAACAAAAUAGUGAUACCACAUCACCUCCUCAAGUCCUAACUUUUUAUAUAGAUAUGAAAAAUAUCUCUUCCGCGGAGGGGGAGGAUUCAUUGGAUUUGAUACGGGCUGACUUGGCCCAUUAGCAUUAGCAUUUGCUGCAUUGUAGGGUUCUAACUUUUUUGAUAGAUGUGAAAAAACUCUCUUCCGCAGUGGGCCGGUAUCCGGGCUGACUUGGCCCAUUAGCAUUGGCUGCAGCCGUUUGCUGAUUGGGAGCCUUGGUGGGUUCCAUCUUUUCGAAUAGAGGUGAAUAAACUUUCUUCGGCCUAGGGGGAGGGCUCCCCGGAUUUGAUCUGGGCUGACUUGGCCCAUUAUAUUAGCUGCAGUAUAGGGCUCACCGGAUUUGCUCAUGGAGUAUUGGGAUUAUAAAUGUGCCUCAACUUGGCCUUCCACUUAUUACGACGCCCAAUGCAAUGCAAACUUUAUUGAUAACUGAUUAGGAGAUGAUCUUCAUUACCCCGUUUUCGAACUUUAUAUCAAACAAGGAACCAUCCUUAAGGACGUCAACCUUCUGGAGCUCGUAACGAAGCGGGAACUAUAAACGAACAAAGUUCUGAAUUAAAAUUGUUUAUUGAUCAAGAGUUGUAGACAUUCUGAGGUUUCGCUCCUUUAAUACAUGGAAUGCAAAAUUACCAAAAGGGGCAAAACUAAACAUAAAAUAAAGUUCUCAUGUCUGAAAUAAUUGAAAAAAAAAAUGCGUGCAAUUAGAGAUAAUUUCCUAUCGAUCCGGAGGGCAAUAAGCUUUGAAAAGAAGUUAGCUCCGUCUUUCCAUAUGCUUCAAUAUUGUAUGUUAUAUGCACAAAAUGGAUACCUGUAGCUCAAAUAACAAUCUGGGAAGAUAAAGGUCAUGUUCUACGUCAACCCGAUUCCAGCAUCUUUGAUCUCUAUCGCAGAACAAACGAAGCUGCAGUCACUAUUCUUUAUACCACAUAUUAUUCUUAUACGCUUCAAUUCCUGCAGGGGAAGUGUUGAGACUGAUUUGGUGUAUAAGUACUAAACCAAUCGCCCUAAGACCUAAUCCUAGUUAAAGACUAAUUAAUGAACUUAAGAAUGAAAGUUUAAUCACACUUAAGGGAAAAUAAGGAUUAAGCCUUGUUGUCUGGAGAAACUAAGCAAAAUCCCCUUCAUGUUUUAAAAUAUAUGUAAACCACUCAUGUUAGUUAAAACGGUGUCAACUUUAUUUAUUAUUUUAUUAUCUUAUCCCUAGUCUUGAUGUUUAUCAUAAAAUUUGAAUGUUUUGAGAAUAUGAAUCAAGUAAAAUAACUUAUAUACCCUUAACGAAUAAAUUAAUUUAAUAACGAAUUGUAAGUUAUGGAGAAAUAUCAACUGAUUUGUAAAUGUAAGUUCUUUUUAUUUUUUUAUUUUUUAUAAUCAUUUAUAGUAUUAAAAUAUGAACUUUCCUAUUAAAAACUUAUUUGUGCCUGUUAUGUUUUUGAUAUAUCGGUUUUUGGGUAUUAAAAAUUUGAGCUUUUUAUUUGUUCUUUCUUUCUUUUUUUAAUUAUAAUAUCUGUGAAAGGUUGCUAAAUGAGGUCUGAUUUUGUUGGUAUAAUGAUUUGCAACAAAGAAAAUUAAAUUUAAAACUUCUCUUUAAAUUUAUUUUCUUUGAGGUAUUCUUGAAAUAAUGAUAGUAUUGUCUAUUAUUAUUGAGCUCAGAUGCCUAACGUCGAUGUUUUUGAUAAUUUUGAUGGGAAGAAAUUUGAUUUAGGGGCAUGAUAUGUUGAUUGUUUGAGUUAGGUUGCUAAUAUUUCUCCAUAAUUUUCAAUUCAUUGUUAGAUUAAUUUAAUUAUUAAGGGAAUAUAACAUCAAGACUAAAGUUAAAAUAGUAAAAUAGUACAUAAAGUUAAUAUCAUAUAACCACAGACCUAUUUUAAAAUAUGAGGAGAUUUCACUUAGUUUCCCCAAACAUAAUCUUCAUUUUUCUCACUUGUACAUGUCAACUAGACUUCAUAUUUUGUAUAAUAACUUUUGAUGAUACUUCGUUGAAGUUACUUGUAAGUAACUUUUGCUCAGUAGUGAAGUACUCUUGAUUUUCUAAUCUGCAGAUUGAUUACGCUCCUCUUUAUUUUUGAUGACGCACAAUAUUAACUAAUGAUACAAGAACCUCAUCUUCAAGUCUUUAAAGUAAAGCUUGGAGCUCCAAUAGAUUAAUCAUAAAUUCUUUUAAAACAAUUCUUAAUUUUUAUAGUACCCAUUUAUUAUAUAAAUUAAUAAUUAUCUAAUUUGAAAUUAAAUACCUAUGAUAUAAUUAUGUGAUUUUUGUAAAAGAUGUGCUCAGUUCGCUUAAAUCCCCAGUGAACCUUUUACGCCCAAACACGACAAUUUAUGUGAAUUAAGAAUUAUUCUGAGCUAGCAAGCAACUCAAGUUAUGUAUGAUACAAUAAUCAUGGCUACCACUACUCUUAAAUUGACAUUUCUAUCACUAUUACCACCACAAGUCUGCCUCCCUGUUGAAACAGAACUUGUUAUUUAUCAACUUCAACAGUUUAAAAUAAGCAGAAGAAGGUAGAAGCAGAAGAACCAGCAGGGAAAAAAGGAGAUGAAUAUACCUGUGCCUCAAGUUGGGCCAGAUAUUCAUUACCCACCUUUUUCAAUAGAGGGGAAACAAACCUCUCGGCUCAGGGCCUCCGUCCAGAGGGAGGGUUCCCUUGUGCUGGAUUGGAGCCGGGCUGACUUGGCCCAUUAGCAUUAGCUUUAUAGCUGCAGUCGUUUGGCUAUUGUUUUGCUGAUUUGGUGAGUGCGACUCUUGGUAGGGUUCCAGGUUUUUCAAAAGAUAUGAAAAAUAUCUCUUCCGCCGAGGGGGAGGAUUCAUUGGAUUUGAUCCUGGCUGACUUGGCCCAUUAGCAUUAGCAUUUGCUGCAUUGUAGGGUUCUAUCUUUUUUGAUAGAUGUGAAAAAACUCUCUUCCGCAGUGGGCCGGUAUCGGGGCUGACUUGGCCCAUUAGCAUUGGCAGCAGCCGUUUGCUGAUUUUGUGAUUGGGAGCCUUGGUGGGUUCCAUCUUUUCAAAUAGAGGUGAGUAAACUUUCUUCCGCCUAGGGGGAGGGCUCACCGGAUUUGAUCUGGGCUGACUUGGCCCAUUAUAUUAGCUGCAGUAUAGGGUUUCAUCUUUUUCCAAUAGAUAUGAAAAAACUCUCUUCCGCCAAGACGGGUUCACUAGAUCUGAUUCGGGCUGACUUGACCCAUUAGCAUUAACUGCAGUGUAGGGUUCCAUCUUUUCGAAUAAAUGUGAAAAAACUCGCUUCGCCGACAGGGUUCACUGGGUUGGAUCCGGGCUGAGUUGGCCCGUCAUCAUGAGCAUUAGCAGCAGCCGUUUGCUAAUUUUGUGAUUGGGACUCUUGGUAGGGUUCCAUCCUCUGUGAAUUUUUUUCAAGGGGCCAAGCUGUACGAUGUUUAGACAUGGGCGUACAAGUUUCAGAAACUUUUUCUUCAGUUUCAUCAAAUGGUAGUGCAGGAACAAGAUUGUAAUGUAUGUGUUAACUAGACUUCAUGUUUUGUACCAUGUACAUGGCUAAUAAAUUAAACAAGGCCCUUUCAUCAAGCUUAUAAAGGGAGUAAGCCGAAACUAAUACUUUGAUGGUGCGUCGUUGCAGUUGCUUGUUUGAAUGCAACUUUUGCUUGCAAGUCAUUUAUUCUUGAUUUUCUGAUCUGCAGAUUGAUUCUUCUUUUUGAUGAAACAUAAUGUUAACUAAUUAUAGAAGAAUUUCAUCUUAUUGAAAUUGUUAGACUUGACAUUAGAGACAUAAGUAACGCGUCCAAACUAUCCGCGAUGUGAUCACCAUUGCCAUGAGUAAUAUUCACAUAUUAUUUAACCUGCAUCUUCUAUUUAGUAAUGCACGCAUUUGACAUUGCACGCUAACAAAAUUUAACUCAGUACCUUGUUCUAGUGUCGAAUAAGUCGUAUUAUAUUUGACAAACCAAAUAAGCAACGACUGUAAAUAAAGUUUAUACAAAUUUGAGAAGAAGAAUGGAAAAUCACAUUUAACCAUCUUGACUCAUGUCUGCAAUACCAAAGUCACUACUGAUAAUAAGAAAGAACUGAAAAGAGAGUUUGCACAAAGGUUAGUAGAAGCAGGAGAACAGCAGCCAGAAAGGAGAUGAUUGCCCAUGGAUUGUUGAAAUAAUUGUGCCUCAACUUGGCCAUCCACUUAUUACGACGCCUACUGCAAUGCAAAACCACUUUGUUGACAACCUCCUGGUAAUAGAACCGCUCACCGAGUACAACACCCUCACAAAGCUUGUUCAGUAAGGUUACAAUCACUUCAUCAUCUCCUAACAAAUUAUUAAUUAUUCCACAACGACGGAGAAGCUCAGCAUCCUUUGAAGUUUUGAUAAGGCAGUUCAGGAAUUUGACAUAAUCUAUUACAUGCUUCAGAUUUAUGUCUUGGGAACACUGCUCAUAUGCAAUGAGAUUCCGAAAAAUAGUUUCUGUAGCAUCACUAAUUUCCAAGGAUGGCAUCUUCAUUACCCCAUUUUCGAACUUAAUAUCGAACAAGGAAUCAUCAUCCUUAUCAACCUCAACCUUCCGGAAUUCGAUUCCAGCCUCUUGAAUCUCUGUGGCAGAACAAAUGAAGUUGCAGUGACUAUUAUUGGUGCCAUUAUGAAGCUCAUAUGCUACUACUCCUGCAGGUGAAGGAAGCCAGUUACCGUGGAUCAAAUGGACUAGAUGUUUGAUUUCAUUUAUGCGAUAAUUAUUAACUCGGUAAACAUCAUCUCUUCGACAUCCUUUUCCUGGUAAUAUCCCGUUGAAAAAACGCAGAAUUGUGACAAGAAAGCUUUUGUCACUAGCACUGUUAGGCAACUCAGUCAUGCUAAACAACUUCCAAAUAACAAAAAAUGGAAGUUGAUUCUCAAGUAAAAUCAUAUCUUGAGCUAUGGAAGGUAACAUCCAACUCAGUUCAAAAAUAGGGUCAUUACCUUGUCCCAAAGCAGGGUCAUUAUGUCUUCUCCCCUCCAUUUCCAACCUAAACUUGCGAAAAACCUCAACAAUGAAAAAACCAUCAAGAAUCAUCAUUUUCACAAACUCAUCUUGGUUUAAACUUAUGGACCCUCCAUAACAAUUUUUAGCUGUCUCUUCCAGUUCCCUCAUGACUGCGAAAUAGCAUGACAAAGGUAUAUCCAAUCUUCGCUCUAGAAGCCUUUGAAGAUAGCUCAUUUUGUACUUUUCAAAGUCCAAUAAUUGAUCUUUACCGUGAUGGUAAGGACCAAUUGAUAGCAAUCUUGGUGCAUAAGCCUUUUCAUUUACAUUACG